AUAAGACUGGGAUAACUUCGGGAAACCGGAGCUAAUACCGGAUAAUAUUUUGAACCGCAUGGUUCAAAAGUGAAAGACGGUCUUGCUGUCACUUUUAGAUGGAUCCGCGCUGCAUUAGCUAGUUGGUAAGGUAACGGCUUACCAAGGCAACGAUGCAUAGCCGACCUGAGAGGGUGAUCGGCCACACUGGAACUGAGACACGGUCCAGACUCCUACGGGAGGCAGCAGUAGGGAAUCUUCCGCAAUGGGCGAAAGCCUGACGGAGCAACGCCGCGUGAGUGAUGAAGGUCUUCGGAUCGUAAAACUCUGUUAUUAGGGAAGAACAUAUGUGUAAGUAACUGUGCACAUCUUGACGGUACCUAAUCAGAAAGCCCCGGCUAACUACGUGCCAGCAGCCGCGGUAAUACGUAGGUGGCAAGCGUUAUCCGGAAUUAUUGGGCGUAAAGCGCGCGUAGGCGGUUGUUUAAGUCUGAUGUGAAAGCCCACGGCUCAACCGUGGAGGGUCAUUGGAAACUGGAAAACUUGAGUGCAGAAGAGGAAAGUGGAAUUCCAUGUGUAGCGGUGAAAUGCGCAGAGAUAUGGAGGAACACCAGUGGCGAAGGCGACUUUUUGGUCUGUAACUGACGCUGAUGUGCGAAAGCGUGGGGAUCAAACAGGAUUAGAUACCCUGGUAGUCCACGCCGUAAACGAUGAGUGCUAAGUGUUAGGGGGUUUCGCCCCUUAGUGCUGCAGCUAACGCAUUAAGCACUCCGCCUGGGGAGUACGACCGCAAGGUUGAAACUCAAAGGAAUUGACGGGGACCCGCACAAGCGGUGGAGCAUGUGGUUUAAUUCGAAGCAACGCGAAGAACCUUACCAAAUCUUGACAUCCUUUGACAACUCUAGAGAUAGAGCCUUCCCCUUCGGGGGACAAAGUGACAGGUGGUGCAUGGUUGUCGUCAGCUCGUGUCGUGAGAUGUUGGGUUAAGUCCCGCAACGAGCGCAACCCUUAAGCUUAGUUGCCAUCAUUAAGUUGGGCACUCUAAGUUGACUGCCGGUGACAAACCGGAGGAAGGUGGGGAUGACGUCAAAUCAUCAUGCCCCUUAUGAUUUGGGCUACACACGUGCUACAAUGGACAAUACAAAGGGCAGCGAAACCGCGAGGUCAAGCAAAUCCCAUAAAGUUUUUUUCAGUUCGGAUUGUAGUCUGCAACUCGACUACAUGAAGCUGGAAUCGCUAGUAAUCGUAGAUCAGCAUGCUACGGUGAAUACGUUCCCGGGUCUUGUACACACCCCC
This 1275-nucleotide ribosomal RNA is filed under the name Staphylococcus aureus. RNAcentral's name for it is "bacterial SSU rRNA". It matches the Rfam family "Bacterial small subunit ribosomal RNA", at positions 132 to 1394 of the family's 1533-position model. The record is from RNAcentral. Lineage: Bacteria; Bacillati; Bacillota; Bacilli; Caryophanales; Staphylococcaceae.